RNAcentral lists this ribosomal RNA (253 nucleotides) under uncultured bacterium. Its description in RNAcentral is "partial 16S ribosomal RNA". It matches the Rfam family "Bacterial small subunit ribosomal RNA", at positions 524 to 776 of the family's 1533-position model. The record is from RNAcentral.
UACGGAGGGUGCGAGCGUUGUUCGGAAUCACUGGGCGUAAAGCGCGUGUAGGCGGCCUGCUAAGUCUGAUGUGAAAGCCCGAGGCUCACCCUCGGAAGCGCAUUGGAAACUGGCAGACUGGAGUCCCGGAGAGGAGGGUGGAAUUCCUGGUGUAGCGGUGAAAUACGUAGAGAUUGGGAAGAACACCAGUGGCGAAGGCGGCUAUCUGGACGGUUUCUGACACUAAGACUCGAAAGCGUGGGGAGCAAACAGG